GGAAUCCUGAUGAUGCUGCAGCAGCUACAAAUAUCUGAGGAGGAAAAUUGGAUUGCCAUUGUGAAGAACCAUUACUCGUCGCCGCAAGCGAUAGAUCUCUUACAUUUGUAGCUCCAAUUCUUCUACCAUUGCUGCCACUUGGAAAUUGAAUUUGAUAAUUUGAUGAGCCAAAUUGCUGUGGAAACAUUUGAAUCAUAUGGGAUUGAUCACCAGGUCUCAUAAAUUGGCCAAACCGUUGCACUUGACUAUUAUUAUUAUUGUUAUGCUUCAAGGAGGCUGGAGAAUGCAAGUGCGUCUGGCUUAAAAGUUGCAACGUUUCUGUUUCAUUGUACCUGUUUUCUCUUCUUCGAACAUCGAUUAAGGCAGAUUGCUUCUCAGGCCUUAAACCAUGGCGCUGCCAAUCAAUAUCCAAUUGCAUUGUUGAUGAAGAAUUUUGACCUCUAUUAUCCCCCAAUUCUCGACUUCCUUGCUUUGAGCUUGAACCACCCAAACUUAAAUCCAGAUUAUGAUCAGCCACGUUAUCGGUAGAUUCAAUUGAGUUUAGUUCAUUCUCAUAAAUGCUUGGAUCAAAAUUUGUAACUGCAUCCUUCCCGUUACACUUGAUGGCAGCUUUAUCAUAAGCUCUGGCA
RNAcentral lists this unclassified non-coding RNA (629 nucleotides) under Hevea brasiliensis (rubber tree). The record is from RNAcentral. Lineage: Eukaryota; Viridiplantae; Streptophyta; Magnoliopsida; Malpighiales; Euphorbiaceae.